UACCAUGGUGGUAACGGGUAACGGGGUGUUAGGGCACGACACCGGAGAGGGAGCCUGAGAAACGGCUACCAUAUCCAAGGAUGGCAGCAGGCGCGCAAAUUACCCAAUCCCGACACGGGGAGGUAGUGACAAUAAAUAACAAUACGGGGUUCUUUAGGAUCUCGUAAUUGGAAUGAGUACAAUUUAAAUCUCUUAACGAGGAACAAUUGGAGGGCAAGUCUGGUGCCAGCAGCCGCGGUAAUUCCAGCUCCAAUAGCGUAUAUUAAAGUUGUUGCAGUUAAAAAGCUCGUAGUUGAAUUUCGGGGUCAGUAGGUCGGUCGUGCCACUGGUAUGAACUGGUUUUACUGAUUCCUCCCUCUUGAAGAACUGUAAUGCCAUUAAUUUGGUGUUGCAGGGAAUCAGGACUGUUACUUUGAAAAAAUUAGAGUGUUUAAAGCAGGCUUUAGCUUGAAUACAUUAGCAUGGAAUAAUGAAAUAGGACGUUUGAUCCUAUUUUGUUGGUUUCUAGGAUUGACGUAAUGAUUAAUAGGGAUAGUUGGGGGCAUUAGUAUUCAAUUGUCAGAGGUGAAAUUCUUGGAUUUAUUGAAGACUAACUACUGCGAAAGCAUUUGCCAAGGAUGUUUUCAUUAAUCAAGAACGAAAGUUAGGGGAUCGAAGACGAUCAGAUACCGUCGUAGUCUUAACCAUAAACUAUGCCGACUAGGGAUCGGAUGAUGUUAAUUUUUUAAUGACUCAUUCGGCGCCUUACGGGAAACCAAAGUGUUU
Molecule: ribosomal RNA, 765 nt
Filed under: uncultured Glomus
Lineage: Eukaryota; Fungi; Glomeromycota; Glomeromycetes; Glomerales; Glomeraceae
Description: SSU rRNA
Rfam family: Eukaryotic small subunit ribosomal RNA
Source: RNAcentral